RNAcentral lists this ribosomal RNA (253 nucleotides) under uncultured bacterium. RNAcentral describes it as "partial 16S ribosomal RNA". It matches the Rfam family "Bacterial small subunit ribosomal RNA", at positions 524 to 776 of the family's 1533-position model. The record is from RNAcentral.
UACGGAGGGUGCGAGCGUUGUCCGGAAUCACUGGGCGUAAAGGGCGCGUAGGCGGCCAACUAAGUCGGAUGUGAAAUCCCCAGGCUUAACCUGGGAACUGCAUCCGAUACUGGAUGGCUUGAAUUCGGGAGAGGGAUGCAGAAUUCCAGGUGUAGCGGUGAAAUGCGUAGAUAUCUGGAGGAACACCGGUGGCGAAGGCGGGUCUCUGGGCCGAUACUGACGCUGAGGAGCGAAAGCAUGGGUAGCGAACAGG